Molecule: ribosomal RNA, 794 nt
Filed under: Cylydrorhinus cf. caudiculatus MSL2007
Lineage: Eukaryota; Metazoa; Arthropoda; Insecta; Coleoptera; Curculionidae
Description: partial 16S ribosomal RNA
Rfam family: Bacterial large subunit ribosomal RNA (bases 1-594)
Source: RNAcentral
GGCCUUUUGAGUAUGAUUUAAGGUCUAACCUGCCCAAUGAGUUUUUAAAUGGCCGCGGUAUUUUGACCGUGCAAAGGUAGCAUAAUCAUUAGUUUUUUAAUUAAAAGCUGGAAUGAAAGGUUGAAUGAAAAAAUAACUGUCUCUAUUUAAAUUUAUUAGAAUUUUAUUUUUAAGUAAAAAAGCUUAAAUUUCGUUAGAAGACGAGAAGACCCUAUAGAGUUUUAUUAAUGGUUUUUAUAAAAUUUUAGUAUUUAAGUUUUUGUAAUUAAAAUUAAUUUAGUUGGGGUGAUUAAAAAAUUUGAUAAACUUUUUUUUAAUUUAAACAUUUAUUUAUGAAUAUUUGAUCCUUUUUUUAAAGAUUAAAAGAUACAAUUACCUUAGGGAUAACAGCGUAAUUUUCCUAGAGAGUUCAAAUCGAAAGGAAAGAUUGCGACCUCGAUGUUGGAUUAAAAUAAAAUUUUGGUGUAGAAGCUAAAGUAUUUGGGUCUGUUCGACCUUUAAAAUUUUACAUGAUCUGAGUUUAAACCGGCGUGAGCCAGGUUGGUUUCUAUCUCUAUUAAUUGAAAAUGCCUUAGUACGAAAGGACCAGGCAUUUAAUUUAAAAUUUUAUUAUAGAACAAUAUUGUUAUUUUGGCAGACUAGUGCAAUAGAUUUAGAAUCUUUCAAUGUAAAUUAUUUUACAAAUAACACUUGAUAAUAAAGGAUUUAUUUUUGAUAUUUUUAUCUAGGUUAAUUUUAAUUGUCUGUGUUUUGGUAGGCUUGGCCUUUUUAACAUUGCUAGAACGUAAAGUUUU